AGGUAUAGACCCGAAACCCGGUGAUCUAGCCAUGGGCAGGUUGAAGGUUGGGUAACACUAACUGGAGGACCGAACCGACUAAUGUUGAAAAAUUAGCGGAUGACUUGUGGCUGGGGGUGAAAGGCCAAUCAAACCGGGAGAUAGCUGGUUCUCCCCGAAAGCUAUUUAGGUAGCGCCUCGUGAACUCAUCUUCGGGGGUAGAGCACUGUUUCGGCUAGGGGGCCAUCCCGGCUUACCAAACCGAUGCAAACUCCGAAUACCGAAGAAUGUUAUCACGGGAGACACACGGCGGGUGCUAACGUCCGUCGUGAAGAGGGAAACAACCCAGACCGCCAGCUAAGGUCCCAAAGUCAUGGUUAAGUGGGAAACGAUGUGGGAAGGCACAGACAGCCAGGAUGUUGGCUUAGAAGCAGCCAUCAUUUAAAGAAAGCGUAAUAGCUCACUGGUCGAGUCGGCCUGCGCGGAAGAUGUAACGGGGCUAAACCAUGCACCGAAGCUGCGGCAGCGACGCUUAGGCGUUGUUGGGUAGGGGAGCGUUCUGUAAGCCGUUGAAGGUGGCCUGUGAGGGUUGCUGGAGGUAUCAGAAGUGCGAAUGCUGACAUAAGUAACGAUAAAGCGGGUGAAAAGCCCGCUCGCCGGAAGACCAAGGGUUCCUGUCCAACGUUAAUCGGGGCAGGGUGAGUCGACCCCUAAGGCGAGGCUGAAAAGCGUAGUCGAUGGGAAACAGGUUAAUAUUCCUGUACUUGGUGUUACUGCGAAGGGGGGACGGAGAAGGCUAGGCUAGCCGGGCGACGGUUGUCCCGGUUUAAGCGUGUAGGGGGUGUGACCUGGUAAAUCCGGUUGCAUACUAACCCUGAGGCGUGAUGACGAUGCACUACGGUGCAGAAGUAGUUGAUGCCCUGCUUCCAGGAAAAUCCUCUAAGCUCCAGGUAACAUUAAAUCGUACCCCAAACCGACACAGGUGGUCAGGUAGAGAAUACCAAGGCGCUUGAGAGAACUCGGGUGAAGGAACUAGGCAAAAUGGUGCCGUAACUUCGGGAGAAGGCACGCUGGCAUGUAGGUGAAGUCCCUUGCGGAUGGAGCUGAAGCCAGUCGAAGAUACCAGCUGGCUGCAACUGUUUAAUAAAAACACAGCACUGUGCAAACACGAAAGUGGACGUAUACGGUGUGACGCCUGCCCGGUGCUGGAAGGUUAAUUGAUGGGGUCAGCCGCAAGGCGAAGCUCUUGAUCGAAGCCCCAGUAAACGGCGGCCGUAACUAUAACGGUCCUAAGGUAGCGAAAUUCCUUGUCGGGUAAGUUCCGACCUGCACGAAUGGCGUAAUGAUGGCCAGGCUGUCUCCACCCGAGACUCAGUGAAAUUGAACUCGCUGUGAAGAUGCAGUGUACCCGCGGCAAGACGGAAAGACCCCGUGAACCUUUACUAUAGCUUGACACUGAACAUUGAGCCUUGAUGUGUAGGAUAGGUGGGAGGCUUUGAAGCGUGGACGCCAGUCUGCGUGGAGCCAUCCUUGAAAUACCACCCUUUAAUGUUUGAUGUUCUAACUCGGCCCCAUAAUCUGGGGUGAGGACAGUGUCUGGUGGGUAGUUUGACUGGGGCGGUCUCCUCCCAAAGAGUAACGGAGGAGCACGAAGGUUAGCUAAUCACGGUCGGACAUCGUGAGGUUAGUGCAAAGGCAUAAGCUAGCUUGACUGCGAGAGUGACGGCUCGAGCAGGUACGAAAGUAGGUCUUAGUGAUCCGGUGGUUCUGAAUGGAAGGGCCAUCGCUCAACGGAUAAAAGGUACUCCGGGGAUAACAGGCUGAUACCGCCCAAGAGUUCAUAUCGACGGCGGUGUUUGGCACCUCGAUGUCGGCUCAUCACAUCCUGGGGCUGAAGUAGGUCCCAAGGGUAUGGCUGUUCGCCAUUUAAAGUGGUACGCGAGCUGGGUUUAGAACGUCGUGAGACAGUUCGGUCCCUAUCUGCCGUGGGCGUUGGAAGAUUGAGAGGGGUUGCUCCUAGUACGAGAGGACCGGAGUGAACGCACCACUGGUGUUCGGGUUGUCAUGCCAAUGGCAUUGCCCGGUAGCUAAGUGCGGAAAAGAUAAGCGCUGAAAGCAUCUAAGCGCGAAACUUGCCUCAAGAUGAGUCUUCCCUGGGCCUUUAAGGCCCCUGAAGGAACGUUUAAGACUAAGACGUUGAUAGGCUGGGUGUGUAAGUGCAGCGAUGCAUUGAGCUAACCAGUACUAAUGAUCCGUGAGGCUUAACCUU
RNAcentral lists this ribosomal RNA (2248 nucleotides) under Serratia marcescens. RNAcentral describes it as "partial 23S ribosomal RNA". It matches the Rfam family "Bacterial large subunit ribosomal RNA", at positions 705 to 2925 of the family's 2925-position model. The record is from RNAcentral. Lineage: Bacteria; Pseudomonadati; Pseudomonadota; Gammaproteobacteria; Enterobacterales; Yersiniaceae.